UGCGGCGUGGACUGGAAUGGUUCCCAGCGCGGCUUCAUAAGCCGUCCGAUGCCGGUUCGACUCCGGCCGCCGCGA
RNAcentral lists this transfer RNA (75 nucleotides) under Planctomycetota bacterium. Its description in RNAcentral is "tRNA-Met". It matches the Rfam family "tRNA". Rfam says of the family: Transfer RNA (tRNA) molecules are approximately 80 nucleotides in length. Their secondary structure includes four short double-helical elements and three loops (D, anti-codon, and T loops). Lineage: Bacteria; Pseudomonadati; Planctomycetota. The record is from RNAcentral.